RNAcentral lists this long non-coding RNA (1639 nucleotides) under Lathyrus oleraceus (garden pea). Its description in RNAcentral is "Pisum sativum (pea) long non-coding RNA (PSAT_LNC039259)". The record is from RNAcentral. Lineage: Eukaryota; Viridiplantae; Streptophyta; Magnoliopsida; Fabales; Fabaceae.
UAGGGACCAAUUUCUAAAACUAAGGGAAUUCACCAAAAACUAAUCAUAAUCCACACUAACACCCAUUCUACACGAUCCACAAGUGACCAAUUCUCACACAUUUUUGUAAAUAAUACACACAUUAGUUGUAACACUCUAAAAGAAACUCCACUAGACGUACAUAUUUCACCUGCAAAAACUCAAUGCUAUCAAUUUCUAAAUAUUAAACCUUCACAAGAUCAAACACACACCAAUUCACACACCCAAUCAACAAUUCAUACAAUCACAAAUAUUAUCACUUACACAACAAGUUCACCACUAUCACCCCCUUUUGUUACACAUAUACAAGUUUUUCUUUUACACAAAAUAACAACAAAGCCAGUUGACCACAAUUACACUCACCAGACUAAUUUUCACACUAACAUCUUCAUACACACUUCCACACACAAAUUCACCAAUCAUCUUCUUUCACUAAACACUUCCAUAAACAACCACUCAAACUUAUAAAUUUCAUUACCAACAUCAAUGUUCAUACAUCAGAACAAUACCAAAAUAACAACAAUCCAACAUUGGGUUUAAGCUUCUCCAAAACAUGGGUUACACUCCUGGUUCUGCACUUAGCAAGGAGGGUUCAGGCAGGGCUGAACGGGUAGGGAUUAAAAUUCAAUGGUCACGAGUUGGUAUAGGCGUAGAGGAUCCCUUCUCUANGGGAGAGAUCUACGCCUCUUAGCCCACUCGUGAACCAUCUGAAUUUUAAUCCCUGACCCUUCAGAGUCCUCUGCCUGAACCCUCCUUGCUAAGUGCAAGAACGCAGGAGUGUAACCCAUGUUUGGAGAACUUAAACCCAAUGUUGGAUGUUGUUAUUUUGGUAUUGUUUGAUGUAUGAACAUUGAUGUUGGUAAUGAAUUUAAUAAUUUGAGUGGUUUGUUUAUGGGUGUUAGUGAAAGAAGAUGAUUGGUGAAUUUGUGUGUGGAAGUGUGUAUGAAGAUGUUAGUGUGAAAAUUAGUCUGGUGAGUGUAAUUGUGGUCAACUGGCUUUGUUGUUAUUUUGUGUAAAAGAAAAACUUGUAUAUGUGUACAAAAGGGGUGAUAGUGGUGAACUUGUUGGUAAGUGAUAAUAUUUGUGAUUGUAUGAAUUGUUGAUUGGUGUGUGAAUUGGUGUGUGUUUGAUCUUGUGAAGGUUAAUAUUUAGAAAUUGAUAGCAUUGAGUUUUUUGCAGGUGAAAUAUUACGUCUAGUGGAGUUUCUUUUAGAGUGUUACAACUAAUGUGUGUAUUAUGAUUAAAAUUCAAUGGUCACGAGUUGGUAUAGGCGUAGAGGAUCCCUUCUCUAAUACGUGCUGUUUGGCUUAGAGAAACACACUCAAUCUUCUCACCGCUCUCUACCGACGGAGGCCUUUUGCUAAAUGAGAAAACGAUAGAAAAUCGCCAAAACCGUUUCCGGCCAUAUAACUUGAAUCCAUAAACACACCGUCUUAAAUCGCCGCACAACCACGAAACCACCACCACCAUGCAACUUCGGGUUCACCGCCGCAAAUCACCUCCCAGACACCGUUUCUCCGCCCGCGAACCACCGCUUGAUUUGACGUGUGCCUCUUCUUCCAGUCAGCCAGAAGGUGUGUGUGGUGUUCAGCUCAGUUUAAAAAGAAAAAUAUGCCACUUG